RNAcentral lists this ribosomal RNA (520 nucleotides) under uncultured Glomus. RNAcentral's name for it is "SSU rRNA". It matches the Rfam family "Eukaryotic small subunit ribosomal RNA", at positions 569 to 1088 of the family's 1831-position model. Lineage: Eukaryota; Fungi; Glomeromycota; Glomeromycetes; Glomerales; Glomeraceae. The record is from RNAcentral.
AGCAGCCGCGGUAAUUCCAGCUCCAAUAGCGUAUAUUAAAGUUGUUGCAGUUAAAAAGCUCGUAGUUGAAUUUCGGGAUCAGUGGGUCGGUCGUGCCACUGGUAUGUACUGGCCCUACUGGUUCCUCCUUCUUGAAGAACUGUAAUGCCAUUAAUUUGGUGUUGCAGGGAAACAGGACUGUUACUUUGAAAAAAUUAGAGUAGUUUAAAGCAGGCAAUCGCUUGAAUACAUUAGCAUGGAAUAAUGAAAUAGGACGUUCGAUCCUAUUUUGUUGGUUUCUAGGAUUGACGUAAUGAUUAAUAGGGAUAGUUGGGGGCAUUAGUAUUCAAUUGUCAGAGGUGAAAUUCUUGGAUUUAUUGAAGACUAACUACUGCGAAAGCAUCUGCCAAGGAUGUUUUCAUUAAUCAAGAACGAAAGUUAGGGGAUCGAAGACGAUCAGAUACCGUCGUAGUCUUAACCAUAAACUAUGCCGACUAGGGAUCGGAUGAUGUUAAUUUUUUAAUGUACUCAUUCGGCGUCC